This 397-nucleotide ribosomal RNA is filed under the name uncultured bacterium. RNAcentral describes it as "partial 16S ribosomal RNA". It matches the Rfam family "Bacterial small subunit ribosomal RNA", at positions 523 to 918 of the family's 1533-position model. The record is from RNAcentral.
AUACGUAGGUGACAAGCGUUAUCCGGAUUUACUGGGUGUAAAGGGCGUGUAGGCGGUUUAGCAAGUCAGAAGUGAGAUUCCCGGGCUUAACUUGGGCGCUGCUUCUGAAACUGCUUUACUUGAGUGCUGGAGAGGAUAGUGGAAUUCCUAGUGUAGCGGUAAAAUGCGCAGAUAUUAGGAGGAACACCGGUGGCGAAGGCGGCUAUCUGGACAGUAACUGACGCUGAGGCGCGAAAGCACGGGGAGCAAACAGGAUUAGAUACCCUGGUAGUCCGUGCCGUAAACGAUGAAUACUAGGUGUAGGGGGUAUCGACUCCCUCUGUGCCGCAGUUAACACAUUAAGUAUUCCACCUGGGGAGUACGGCCGCAAGGUUGAAACUCAAAUGAAUUGACGGGG